UUUGACAAGAGUUAGGAAGCUGAUCGAGAUUUUUAGUUCGUCAACGCAAUAUUGCAAAUGCAAUAGUGUAAUGACUGUUUUUUUGAUAUUAUGGAACAAACGUCCCCCUGGAACGAUGAACUAGUUCAAUUUUGGUGGUUAAUGGUCAGUGUGACAUCAUAUGCGUUCCAUUUUGGUGAACCCGAUGUUUCCAACUUCCACACUAUGACUAAAACGAUAAGUGUAUGCUGUAACCAUAUGCUAAUUAUCUUAAUCUCAACACGUUUUGGGAAAAAAAACAAGAUUUUGGACGGACAUGGAUGUGAAAUCCAGUUCAACUGGUUACACACAACAGCAAUUCGUUACUUUUAGCUUUCGUCGAAGCACCGAUGAGUAUGAUGAGCACCUGAUUAACGCUCUCACAGUCUGUUCCAACGGAGCCAAAUGGAAGCUUAGCGUCUCCCAUCUACUGUCACUGAUUACAUCAGCAAAAUUAAACAAUCUGUCAUGUAUAGCACGAACCGUCUUAGCUUUGAUGGAAUAAUAAAUACUAUGUACGCAAGAAAACGGUGACAGCUCUUCACGGCUUCGUUCUGUUCAUCCGUACAUUGAGGCUCUGGCAUGAGUUGACACGCUGCGGGCAGAUGGAGCUGACGUGACAUCACCAGCUACAGGACGGGCCGAUGAAGAAGCAGGUACACUGACGGGCACAUGGUGCAUGCGGGAGGGAAAGGGGAUGUUCCAUGGAGAACGUUUCAAUGAAAACAACAAGAAAGGAAAGAAAGGAGGGAACAAUUAAUACACCUCAGAUGCUUAAUCUCAAGGUUCCCAAUCGGCUUUAUUCAAUCUUUAUCCAAUCAACGGCAUUAUUUCUGGAAAUGCUGAGUUUGAAGGACGCACGUUCGGACUCGUGACGACCAAAAACAAAAAUUUUAAGAAGAUAAUUGCUAGAGAGGCAACGAACGAGGGGUAGACGCAUGUUUUGAGGGGCCAAGAGUGAAGAAUGAUAAAAGCUCAUUAGCAAAACGGCUCCUCUCUCACCUCCCGCUGUUACACGUGGACACGUGUUUGUGUCUCUGUGUGUGUGUUUGUGUCUGUGUCCACAGGCUUUCAGUCAAAAGGACAAAGAGCCUUGUCAAGUAAACAUGCAGCCAGUCAAGCAAACAGUUGAGGUCAUGCACACACACACACACACACACAGUAUAUGUUUAGAUGCGUGUAUUGUGUGAGGGCACCGAUGCCGUUUCCAAGUCAUUUAACACUAGAUGGUGUUGGACUGGCCAAUGAUUACCAUUCUGUCUGAAAUACAAACAGACACAGAGAGACAGGGAGUGUGUGUGUGUGUGUGUGUGUGUGUGUGUGUGUGUGUGUGUGCGUGUGGGGGGCACAGGUAACGGCCAUCAGAGGCAGCAAGCACUCAAACAGCACAGUGCACUCAGAAAGUGAGCGUUGUGCUUUAUUAGUACUUUUAAAGAGGUUUCUCACUUUUUUUAAAAACAUUUUCGGCAAAGGUCUUCAAUGCAAAGGUCUUCAAUGCAAAAGUCUUCAAUGCAAAGGUCUUCAAUGCAAAGGUCUUCAAUGCAAAGGUCUUCAAUGCAAAAGGUCUUCAAUGCAAUGGUCUUCAAUGCAAAGGUCUUCAAUGCAAAGGUAUUCAAGGCAAAGGUCUUCAAUGCAAAAGGUCUUCAAUGCAAAAGGUAUUCAAUGCAAAAGGUCUUCAAUGCAAAGGUCUUCAAUGCAAUGGUCUUCAAUGCAAAAGUCUUCAAUGCAAAGGUCUCCAAUGCAAAGGUAUUCAAUGCAAAGGUCUUCAAUGCAAAGGUCUUCAAUGCAAAGGUCUUCAAUGCAAAGGUCUUCAAUGCAAAGGUAUUCAAGGCAAAGGUCUUCAAUGCAAAAGGUCUUCAAUGCAAAAGGUAUUCAAUGCAAAAGGUCUUCAAUGCAAAUGUCUUCAAUGCAAUGGUCUUCAAUGCAAAAGUCUUCAAUGCAAAGGUCUUCAAUGCAAAGGUCUCCAACGUGACUUCUGCAGUUGAAUGUGCCCGAUUGUCCACAUACAUGUCCAAACUUUAGUGGAACUUGGGGGGGAUUGGAUAGUGAAUAUGUUAUGUGUUCGGCCAUGGCGGCGGAUGAAUGCAUUGCAUCGGCCCCCGGCCCCUCGGGCCCCUCGGGCCCCCGGGCCCCCGGGCACCGAUAGGUAGACGGAGAUCUUUGUGUAAAACUCAACAGAGCUAUGGGAGGAACCCAGGACUAUAUCCCACAUAGAGAGUGGUGACCUAGUGAAAGCGAUACAACAUAAUGUCGUAAAAAAAACGACGACAACAUCCCAAAUGACCAAGAGAAUAAAGUCAAAGUUUUUCUAUAUUAACUCUCUCUCAAAGGUAUAUUCGUACAGCUUUUCCUACAAAUAAAACCAGGGUAUCUAUUGCAUCCCCCAAGAUUCGAUGUGUCUGUUUAAUGCACAAUUUAGUACGAACAGCGAUCAGACUUUCAUUGAUAGUUGAGGGAAGCAUUUAACUCAUUGGGGUUGAACAUUCUCUCAAGUUAUUGGAGGACUAUCUUUCCUGUUUGUAAUGUCAGAAGAAACUCCAGAACUAUGCAUGUUAUGUACAUUUCUGAUCUAUUGAUCUACUGUUUUCAGUAAAUUGUAUAAAACUACACAUUUGGCGUCGCUGUGUAAAAAGUGUUUGUCCACCUCAGGGCAAAAAACAAAACGCUGUUCUGUCUCCCUUCCCUUCUUCUCUGCUGACAAUGACUCCUGUCGGCCCCGUGUCUUUCCCGGGAGCUGUCAGGGGGAGUAUUCAGCAUGCUUACCGAAGCACACAAAUGACACCUUUUAAGGCUGUGAGCUGUGUGUGUGUGUGUGUUUGUGUUAAAUGUAAGUGCACCAACGGUUUCACAAAGUGCAAAUUCCAUUUUUGUUGCGACGCUCUGGAGAGAAUAUCGUUUUCACUUCAUUAGCUCUGUAUGUGUGUAUCUGUGUGGAUGUGUGUGGAGAAAAAGAUGAGAUGGUGCCUCUAUCAAUCUGUGUGUGUGUGUGUGUGUGUGUGUUUGUGUUUGUGUUUGAGGGAACACACAGCUUGUUUGGUCGCUUCAUUUGUCUUCUCUAACAUGAUUACAAAUACUUAACUAUUAACUAUGAUAUGGGAUUUUAACUUAGAAUUCCCUUUUUUUUCAAUCCUUCUUUGCAAUUCUUCUUCAAAGAGGAUGUUUGUUAACUAUUGCCUCCCUACUAGAAAACUGCGAGCCUGGAAAAGGGCAUUGCAGGCAUUUUCUCUCUCUCAUUAUUUCUCUGUAAAUGUAUGAAAUAAAGGAUCAGUUAUUCGUUACCUGCUCAAUUGGAAUAUAAUGGGUCAUUUAAGGCAAUAACAUUUCUUUCGGGAUGCCCUUUGCCGCUGCAACCAUUUUAUUCAUCAAGUUAUCCAAGUAAAAUCCCGUAGUUGAGGCGUGCGAGGUUUUCAAACAAGUCUUCUUUUUCAUUCACAUUUUCUUAUCAUUUUAGUUGCUGGAUUUGCUGCAGACCAACUGUAUCCGUCCCAGAGUCAAUAUAUUAUGGAAGUAGCUACAUGUCAGCUUUGUUGGUUUGUUACAAUUACUUUUAUUUACAAAUUCACAGCUCUAAAAAUCCAAAAUGUGAAUUUACAACAUUUCCCGAAUACAUUUUAUAAAACAGCGCGUUUCAUGAAUCAACUGUAUUCCCAUUUGGAAGAUGGUAAAUGCAAUAGUUUAGACCCUGGGGGAUUUAGACCUCUAGUCACGCUAUGGAGCUGUCUGUGAGACAGUUUCUACGCUGAUCUAUAGUUUGAGAUCCCAUAACGUAACGUGCCUCUGCGAUGCUCUGCUUGAAAGACACAGAAGGUGUGUUUCUUAAGGGUUUAGGAUGAGGAUGAAAGAGCAUUUGUUGGUUUGUUCUGGUACAACUACAGCAAAUAAACAUUACAAAUGUGGGUUAAGUGUUUGGGAUAUUUUACAUGUGGCCCUGCAUCUCAUUUUUCCCUUUCAAGAGGACCCAUUAGUUGACUGUAGCUCACUUUCUCCACAGCACAGCAGCCCGAGUGGCUCUUUAUCAUGAUUUCUCUUCGUCUUCGUGCAGGAUAUCCGAGAGGGAAUCUCAUCAUCUUUUCUCCACCGGAAGCAAAUCCAAAUACGCACAUACAUCGUGUGUUUUACACUACAAGGGGAUGCAAGUGGGCACGUCAUUAAAACUUAAUCAUGUUUUAUCAAUUGUUGGGGCACUUCAGUCGUCUUCUUGAGUCCAGCCUUUCACAUGUCAAAAAAUGUUGAUUUCCGAGUUAAAUAUUUACCAUAAAUGUGAGAUUAAUGAGUUAGUUGUGGAAUAUAAUGCUUUUUCGCUUGAUAGAUUUCUGUUAAGAAGAACAUUACGUUAACCUAAAACUAAGUUAUUGAGUUGAAUUGUUCUCUGAUUCGACAUUUCUCCUUUGUGAUCUCUCUUAAUCUUCUUCAUAAUAAAAAGUAAUACAAGCAGUCAAUAAGUGUUUUUUUUUAUGUUACGCCAACUUAAAAUAGAAGUAAUGAAAUAGACAGCGCAGACGUUGUGAUCCGCUUCACAGCACAAAUUGAUUAAACAUCGAAUUGACAUUUUCCACGGCUCCGCACUUUGUGUUAUUAUGAUGUGAAAGCAGGUCAUUCGCUUGCAGUAACAAUAUUGAAGUCAGAUAAAUAAUUAAAAAGUUGGACACAAACUUUGAUGCACUGCAGCUUCUACCAGAGACAGAUGCGUAAUUACAGAGAGACACUGUAAAGCCUUUACAACAGCCAUGAGACAACCAAGCAGAAAAUGACCGGUCGCAGGAGCAAGACGCAAUAGACGAGUGCACAGUUGGCGCGGCUGCUGGAUUUCAGUGCUGGGCUUCUUGUGCACAAGCGUGAUCGUUUGUGGCGACCGUUCAUUUUUUUUAUCUUGUUGGUAAUCUUGUAAGUGUGGUUUUGGACACGCUUGAGAAUCGCGGGAUGGCCCAUUCAAAGGACAAUCU
Gasterosteus aculeatus aculeatus (three-spined stickleback) is the source of this 4961-nucleotide long non-coding RNA. NCBI's taxonomy places the organism in Eukaryota, Metazoa, Chordata, Actinopteri, Perciformes, Gasterosteidae. The record is from Ensembl.